Molecule: ribosomal RNA, 256 nt
Filed under: uncultured bacterium
Lineage: Bacteria
Description: partial 16S ribosomal RNA
Rfam family: Bacterial small subunit ribosomal RNA
Source: RNAcentral
UACGUAGGGGGCGAGCGUUGUCCGGAAUCAUUGGGCGUAAAGAGCGUGUAGGCGGACUGGAAGGUCUGGUGUGAAAGCCCGGGGCUCAACCCCGGAGGGUCACCGGAAAACCGACAGUCUUGAAUCUGGAAGAGGAGAGUGGAAUUCCUGGUGUAGCGGUGGAAUGCGCAGAUAUCAGGAGGAACACCUGUGGCGAAAGCGGCUCACUGGACCACUACUGACGCUGGAUGACGCGAAAGCUAGGGGAGCAAACAGG